CCUACGGGCGGCAGCAGUGGGGAAUUUUGGACAAUGGGGGCAACCCUGAUCCAGCCAUUCCGCGUGAGUGAAGAAGGCCUUCGGGUUGUAAAGCUCUUUCGCAAGGGAAGAAAACUUACUCAAUAACACUGGGUGAGGCUGACGGUACCUUGAUAAGAAGCACCGGCUAACUACGUGCCAGCAGCCGCGGUAAUACGUAGGGUGCGUGCGUUAAGCGGAAUUACUGGGCGUGGUGCGUGCGGAGGCGGGUGAAAUCCCCGGGCGCAACCUGGGAACUGCGUGUGAAACUACAAGGCUAGAGUAUGGCAGAGGGGGGUAGAAUUCCACGUGUAGCAGUGAAAUGCGUAGAGAUGUGGAGGAAUACCAAUGGCGAAGGCAGCCCCCUGGGUCAAUACUGACGCUCAUGCACGAAAGCGUGGGGAGCAAACAGGAUUAGAUACCCGUGUAGUC
Molecule: ribosomal RNA, 450 nt
Filed under: uncultured bacterium
Lineage: Bacteria
Description: partial 16S ribosomal RNA
Rfam family: Bacterial small subunit ribosomal RNA
Source: RNAcentral